GACGAACGCUGGCGGCGUGCUUAACACAUGCAAGUCGAACGGAAAGGCCUUUUCGGAGGUACUCGAGUGGCGAACGGGUGAGUAACACGUGGGUGAUCUGCCCUGCACUCUGGGAUAAGCCUGGGAAACUGGGUCUAAUACCGGAUAGGACCGCACUUUAGUGUGUGUGGUGGAAAGUUUUUUCGGUGUAGGAUGAGCCCGCGGCCUAUCAGCUUGUUGGUGGGGUAAUGGCCUACCAAGGCGGCGACGGGUAGCCGGACUGAGAGGUUGGUCGGCCACAUUGGGACUGAGAUACGGCCCAGACUCCUACGGGAGGCAGCAGUGGGGAAGAUUGCACAAUGGGCGCAAGCCUGAUGCAGCGACGCCGCGGGGGGGAUGACGGCCUUCGGGUUGUAAACGCCUUUCGCCAGGGACGAAGCGUUUUGUGACGGUACCUGGAGAAGAAGCACCGGCUAACUACGUG
RNAcentral lists this ribosomal RNA (463 nucleotides) under uncultured bacterium. RNAcentral describes it as "partial 16S ribosomal RNA". It matches the Rfam family "Bacterial small subunit ribosomal RNA", at positions 28 to 507 of the family's 1533-position model. The record is from RNAcentral.